RNAcentral lists this ribosomal RNA (508 nucleotides) under uncultured bacterium. Its description in RNAcentral is "bacterial SSU rRNA". It matches the Rfam family "Bacterial small subunit ribosomal RNA", at positions 28 to 528 of the family's 1533-position model. The record is from RNAcentral.
GAUGAACGCUAGCGGGAGGCUUAACACAUGCAAGUCGAGGGGCAGCAUAGGGUAGCAAUACUCUGAUGGCGACCGGCAAACGGGUGAGUAACGCGUAUGCAACCUACCCUGUACAGGGGGAUAACCCGGAGAAAUUCGGACUAAUAUCCCGUAAUAAUAUCCGGAGGCAUCUUUGGAUAUUUAAAGUUCCGGCGGUACGGGAUGGGCAUGCGUAACAUUAGCUAGUUGGUAAGGUAACGGCUUACCAAGGCUUUGAUGUUUAGGGGUCCUGAGAGGGUGGUCCCCCACACUGGUACUGAGACACGGACCAGACUCCUACGGGAGGCAGCAGUGAGGAAUAUUGGUCAAUGGGCGCAAGCCUGAACCAGCCAUCCCGCGUGCAGGAAGACGGCGCUAUGCGUUGUAAACUGCUUUUCCAGGGAGAGAAACUUGCGCACGUGUUGCGCAAUUGACGGUACCCUGGGAAUAAGCAUCGGCUAACUCCGUGCCAGCAGCCGCGGUAAACUGU